GAUGAACGCUGGCGGCGUGCUUAACACAUGCAAGUCGAGCGAACAGACGCGGAGCUUGCUCCUCUGACGUUAGCGGCGGACGGGAGAGUAACACGUGGAUCACCUACCUAUAAGAAUGGGAUCACUACGGGAAACCGGAGCUAAUACCGGAUAAUAUAUUGAACCGCAUGGUUCAAUAGUAAAAGACGGCUUUCGUGUCUCUAAUAGAUGGAUCGGGGCCGCAUUAGCUAGUUGGUAAGGUAACGGCUUACCAAGGCAACGAAGCGUAGCCGACCUGAGAGGGUGAUCGGCCACACUGGAACUGAGACACGGUCCAGACUCCUACGGGAGGCAGCAGUAGGGAAUCUUCCGCAAAGGGCGAAAGCUUGACGGAGCAACGCCGCGUGAGUGAUGAAGGUCUUCGGAUCGUAAAACUCUGUUAGUAGGGAAGAACAAAUGUGUAAGUAACUAUGCACGUCUUGACGGUACCUAAUCAGAAAGCAACGGCUAACUACGUG
Molecule: ribosomal RNA, 497 nt
Filed under: uncultured bacterium
Lineage: Bacteria
Description: partial 16S ribosomal RNA
Rfam family: Bacterial small subunit ribosomal RNA
Source: RNAcentral